UCCAGCCUGGGCAACAGUGCGAGACUCAAGAAAAAAAAAAAUUUACAGACAUAAACUGACAAGGAGAAAAAAAGAAGAGAUCAUACCAACAAAGUAUGCAAGAUGACCACAAAAUAAACUUGUGAUGAACAGCAAGCCCCGAAAAAAGAUAAAUCCCAAAAUGAUUUAGCAUAAGAGUAAGAUCAACAUCUAACACUCACACACAAAAAAGAAAAGGAAGAAAGAAAAGGAACAGUGCCUCAGAAAUCAGCAACACCUUAACCAAUAGCAUAGAAACAUUAUAGGCUCAGAAAUUAAAAGGUUAAGGAGAGAAGAAAAAGAGAAAAAAAUGAAGCACUAU
Molecule: long non-coding RNA, 340 nt
Filed under: Pan troglodytes (chimpanzee)
Lineage: Eukaryota; Metazoa; Chordata; Mammalia; Primates; Hominidae
Description: long non-coding RNA NONPTRT010124
Source: RNAcentral